AAUGACGAGUGAUUUGACUGAGCGGCGGAUGGGUGAGUAACGCGUGGGUAACCUGCCUCAUACAGGGGGAUAACAGUUAGAAAUGACUGCUAAUACCGCAUAAGACCACAGCUUCGCAUGGAGCAGUGGUAAAAACUCCGGUGGUAUGAGAUGGACCCGCGUCUGAUUAGCUAGUUGGUAAGGUAAUGGCUUACCAAGGCGACGAUCAGUAGCCGACCUGAGAGGGUGACCGGCCACAUUGGGACUGAGACACGGCCCAAACUCC
RNAcentral lists this ribosomal RNA (265 nucleotides) under uncultured Lachnospiraceae bacterium. Its description in RNAcentral is "partial 16S ribosomal RNA". It matches the Rfam family "Bacterial small subunit ribosomal RNA", at positions 74 to 339 of the family's 1533-position model. Lineage: Bacteria; Bacillati; Bacillota; Clostridia; Lachnospirales; Lachnospiraceae. The record is from RNAcentral.